GAUGAACGCUGGCGGCGUGCCUAACACAUGCAAGUCGAGCGAACGGAUGAGGAGCUUGCUCCGAUGACGCUACCGGCGGGCGGGUGAGUAACACGUAUAUAACCUACCUAUAAGACUAACAUCCCUUCGCGAAAGCGGAGAUAACACCGGUCCAUAUAUUGAACCGCAUGGUUCAAUAGUAAAAGAGGGUUUUGCUGUCACUUAGAGAGGUAUCCUCGCUGCAUUAGCUAGUUGCUAAGGUAACGGCCUACCAAGGCAACGAUGCGUAGCUGACCUGAGAGGAUGAUCCGCCACACUGGAACUGAGACACGGUCCAGACUCCUACGGGAGGCAGCAGUAGGGAAUAUUCAACAAUGGGCGAAAGCCUGAUGCAGCAAAGCCGCGUGAGUGAUGAAGGUCUUCGGAUCGUAAAACUCUUUUAGUGGGGAGGAACGGAUGUGUAUGGAAACAUGGACGUUUUGACGAUACCUACUCAGAAAGCAACGGCUAACUACGUG
Molecule: ribosomal RNA, 497 nt
Filed under: uncultured bacterium
Lineage: Bacteria
Description: partial 16S ribosomal RNA
Rfam family: Bacterial small subunit ribosomal RNA
Source: RNAcentral